RNA transcript from Magnolia sinica, 1867 nucleotides. It is a transcript of the gene named serine/threonine-protein kinase SRK2E, with no coding region annotated. The transcript has 10 exons. The record is from RefSeq and is a predicted model, not a curated record. NCBI's taxonomy places the organism in Eukaryota, Viridiplantae, Streptophyta, Magnoliopsida, Magnoliales, Magnoliaceae.
AAGCUCUCUCGCUCUCUCUCACGGGCUUCUCUCCCCCAACCGUCUCUAUCUUCCAACCAACGCCACCUCCGCCAUCCGAUCAGAUUGCAUCCAACGGCUCAUCUCUCGCCACGUACCCUCCCUCUUUCUCUCCUCUCCAGUGCCUUCCACGAUCGCACCUUUUCUUCUCGAUAAUGCGAGCAGCGUCAUCCCACCAUUGGCGCUGUUAGAUCAGAACCGUCGAAUCAUUUUCAGCGAAGGAUCGAUCGGCGGUGACGAUCGGUCCGGGGAUGGACAUGCCGAUAAUGCACGACAGUGAUCGGUAUGAGCUCGUGAAGGACAUCGGGUCGGGGAACUUCGGCGUCGCCCGGCUGAUGAGGGAUAAGCAGACCAAGGAGCUCGUCGCCGUGAAAUACAUCGAGAGGGGCGAGAAGAUAGAUGAAAAUGUACAACGAGAAAUUAUCAACCACAGGUCACUGAGGCACCCCAACAUUGUUAGGUUCAAAGAGGUUAUAUUGACACCAACCCAUCUGGCCAUUGUGAUGGAAUAUGCGUCUGGUGGAGAGCUGUUCGAGCGUAUAUGCAAUGCGGGCCGCUUUAGUGAGGAUGAGGCCCGCUUCUUCUUCCAACAACUUAUAUCAGGAGUUAGCUAUUGCCACUCAAUGCAAGUUUGCCAUCGUGAUCUAAAGCUGGAAAACACCCUAUUGGAUGGAAGUCCUGCUCCUCGUUUGAAGAUAUGUGAUUUUGGGUACUCCAAGUCGUCUGUGCUGCAUUCACAACCCAAGUCCACCGUUGGGACUCCUGCUUACAUUGCUCCAGAAGUAUUACUCAAGAAGGAAUACGAUGGCAAGAUUGCAGAUGUGUGGUCAUGUGGAGUAACCCUUUAUGUCAUGCUAGUGGGUGCAUACCCUUUUGAGGAUCCCGACGAGCCGAAGAACUUUAGGAAGACGAUACAGCGUAUUUUGAGUGUGCAGUAUGCAAUCCCAGACUAUGUGCACAUAUCUCCCGAAUGCCGGCACCUGAUCUCGAGGAUCUUUGUUGCCAAUACCGCAAUGAGAAUAACCAUUCCUGAGAUCCAGAACCAUGAGUGGUUUCUAAAGAAUCUUCCUGCGGAUCUCAUGGAUGACAACACGUACCAGUAUGAUGAGCCCGAUCAACCCAUGCAGAGCAUCGAUGAGAUCAUGCAGAUCAUAGCGGAAGCCACCAUACCUGCAGCUGGGACACGUGGCAUCAACCAGUACCUGACAGGCAGCCUCGACAUCGAUGACGACAUGGAUCUGGAGACCGAUCCUGACAUCGACAUCGACAGCAGUGGGGAGAUUAUAUAUGCAAUGUGAUCGCCUAUGGCAUUUGGAAAGGCCAAGCUUUCAAGAAAAAUCUGGUGCUCGUGUCGAGCUGAAGUGGUGGAGGGCCCGGGCUGUGGGGCCCUGAUAUAAGCGACGGACGAUCAGGGAGUAAGUGGGUUCCAGGCGAUUCGCUGCCACUGAUUGCUGUCUGGUGAUCGGAGUUUCGUAUGUGUCCAUAAAAAGCAUAUAGCUUGACCCUGUCUGUGUAUGUAUGGAAGUUGCUUGCAAAGGGGGGGAUUUGAGGACAUGGAAAUGUGCUUGUUUUCUGAAAGCCUGCUGGUUGGUUAUUUCACUCUCGAAAUGCGGUUGUCAGACUCUUGUUUCGGGGACGUUUGGAUGCGUUUGUGAGUUGGAUUGCGGUAAUGAAUCCACUACAGCAGAAUCAACCAGACUUCAGGUUUACAUUCAUUUGGGGCAUGUAGUACCAGACUCAUUUAGACCUGUCAAAUAUUCUCAGGGAUUUUUAAAAUCUAGCCAUCUUUGUGUGGAAAUUUGAUAAAAUGAUAUUUAUAGAUAGAUUUUUAAAUCUGGGCAGUUUUUAA